UUUUUUAUAUUAUUUACAUGAUAGGUUAUUACAAGAUAUUUGUAUAGUCUCCUGUGUAUUCAGUAGGUACUUGUUUACCUAUUUUAUAUAUAGUCGUGUGUAUAUGCUAAAGCCAAACUCCUAGCUUAUCUUCCUUCUGCCACCUGCCCCACUUUGGUUAUCAUAAGUUUGUUUUCUAUAUAUGGCAUAUGUUUUUUGGGGGGCAGUUUUAAGACAAAGUAACAGAAGGAAUUUUAUUGCCUAGUGGUAUUUUUGACCUUGAUAUGCAGGAAGGUUCGGUCUGCAGACAUUAUGAUUCACCUGGAAAUCACAACAGAAACAGGACCCCAUCCCCUUUCCUGAAGAACUAAUCAUCAGACAACAAGCCAGGUCAAGAGCAAGGGAAACUAAGGAGUGGCAGCAAAUGGAGAUGAUUCUGGGACUGAUUCCUAAGACAGAUAAGGAUAACAAGUUAUGACAACAACAACCAAGUGUCCCUCACCAUCUGGUUCUACAAGGAUGAAGUCACCAGCCGCUGCAGUCGCUGACCUUAAUACACUCUGAAAGGAGUUCAGGGUGGAGGUCAGGAAUGACACACACUGUGUUCCAGGAAAACUGAUAGAACAGGUCUUCAGAUACUUAGAUGUUUCUAGGAGCAAAUUUUAUGAACCUGAUUUUUUGCAUCUUCUCAUACCUAGAAAAGCACUAAAGUCCUUAAUGGAGACAUCUGCUCCUCAUGACUAACAGCAUCCUUCUACCGAGAUGUGCGCUUAUUCAGUGCAUCCCCUCUUCACCAAAAUCAUAUGUGCACCGACCUCCCACCUUGGCUCUUUGGAACAGCUCCUCAGAGCUGUCCGAGAGGCUGUCUCCUGGGCUAUAGUCCUCAAUAAGUCCCCCAAUAAAUUUGAA
Sus scrofa (pig) is the source of this 888-nucleotide long non-coding RNA. RefSeq lists it as uncharacterized. Lineage: Eukaryota; Metazoa; Chordata; Mammalia; Artiodactyla; Suidae. The record is from RefSeq and is a predicted model, not a curated record.